RNAcentral lists this ribosomal RNA (460 nucleotides) under uncultured bacterium. RNAcentral describes it as "partial 16S ribosomal RNA". It matches the Rfam family "Bacterial small subunit ribosomal RNA", at positions 338 to 795 of the family's 1533-position model. The record is from RNAcentral.
CCUACGGGUGUCAGCAGUGAGGAAUAUUGGUCAAUGGGCGCAAGCCUGAACCAGCCAAGUCGCGUGAGGGAUGACGGUCCUAUGGAUUGUAAACCUCUUUUGUCGGGGAGCAAGGCCAGCCACGUGUGGCGGGAAGGAUAGUACCCGAAGAAAAAGCAUCGCCUAACUCCGUGCCAGCAGCCGCGGUAAGACGGAGGAUGCGAGCGUUAUCCGGAUUCAUUGGGUUUACGGGGGGCGUAGGCGGACGGUUAAGUAAGCGGUAAAAUGUCGGGGCUAAACACCGGCGUGCCAUUGAAACUGGUCUUCUUGAGUGAGCGAGAAGUAUGCGGAAUGCGUGGUGUAGCGGUGAAAUGCAUAGAUAUCACGCAGAACUCCGAGUGCGAAGGCAGCAUACCGGCGCUCAACUGACGCUGAGGCACGAAAGCGUGGGGAUCGAACAGGAUUAGAUACCCCAGUAGUC